Molecule: ribosomal RNA, 180 nt
Filed under: uncultured Glomeromycotina
Lineage: Eukaryota; Fungi; Glomeromycota
Description: partial small subunit ribosomal RNA
Source: RNAcentral
GACCUGGUCGGGCGGUCCGCCUAACGGUGUGUACUGUCUGACUGGGUCUUACCUCUUGGUGAGCCGGCGUGCCCUUCACUGGUGUGCGUCGGGGAACCAGGACUUUUACCUUGAGAAAAUUAGAGUGUUCAAAGCAGGCCUAUGCCCGAAUACAUUAGCAUGGAAUAAUAAAAUAGGACG